CAAGGCAUGGCUAAAAACAGGAAAGCGUCUCCCUUACACCGAGAAGAUAUCCGUGCAAACCGGGUUGCCUUGA
This 73-nucleotide transfer RNA is filed under the name Branchiostegus argentatus (silver horsehead). RNAcentral's name for it is "tRNA-Val". It matches the Rfam family "tRNA". From Rfam's summary of the family: Transfer RNA (tRNA) molecules are approximately 80 nucleotides in length. Their secondary structure includes four short double-helical elements and three loops (D, anti-codon, and T loops). Lineage: Eukaryota; Metazoa; Chordata; Actinopteri; Malacanthidae. The record is from RNAcentral.